Molecule: ribosomal RNA, 494 nt
Filed under: uncultured bacterium
Lineage: Bacteria
Description: partial 16S ribosomal RNA
Rfam family: Bacterial small subunit ribosomal RNA
Source: RNAcentral
GACGAACGCUGGCGGCGUGCCUAAUACAUGCAAGUAGAACGCUGAAGGAAGAGCUUGCUUCUCUGGAUGAGUUGCGAACGGGUGAGUAACGCGUAGGUAACCUGCCUGGUAGCGGGGGAUAACUAUUGGAAACGAUAGCUAAUACCGCAUAAUAGUAGAUGUUGCAUGACAUUUGCUUAAAAGGUGCAAUUGCAUCACUACCAGAUGGACCUGCGUUGUAUUAGCUAGUUGGUGAGGUAACGGCUCACCAAGGCAACGAUACAUAGCCGACCUGAGAGGGUGAUCGGCCACACUGGGACUGAGACACGGCCCAGACUCCUACGGGAGGCAGCAGUAGGGAAUCUUCGGCAAUGGACGGAAGUCUGACCGAGCAACGCCGCGUGAGUGAAGAAGGUUUUCGGAUCGUAAAGCUCUGUUGUAAGAGAAGAACGAGUGUGAGAGUGGAAAGUUCACACUGUGACGGUAUCCUACCAGAAAGGGACGGCUAACUACGU